UCAGUUAAGGUCAAGAAAUUUAACUUUCGAUAAAAUGUAAAAGAUACAUGUGAUGCAAGUUUCUUUUGUUUUGGGUUACUAGGUCAAUCCAAAAUUGCUAAAAUAAACAACUGGCAUGCCACUUAGUAAUUGAUUUAGGAGAGAGACAUGAACUUAAAUAGCAUGCCAUGUAAUUAAUUAGCUGAAUAAUAAAUAUUGGAUCCCCAAUUGCAUGCAUCCCCAAAUAGUACUACCUCCGUAUCAAAA
Molecule: long non-coding RNA, 246 nt
Filed under: Setaria viridis
Lineage: Eukaryota; Viridiplantae; Streptophyta; Magnoliopsida; Poales; Poaceae
Description: long non-coding RNA (SVIR_LNC011052)
Source: RNAcentral